This 505-nucleotide ribosomal RNA is filed under the name uncultured bacterium. RNAcentral's name for it is "partial 16S ribosomal RNA". It matches the Rfam family "Bacterial small subunit ribosomal RNA", at positions 28 to 507 of the family's 1533-position model. The record is from RNAcentral.
GACGAACGCUGGCGGCGUGCCUAAUACAUGCAAGUAGAACGCACAGUUUAUACCGUAGCUUGCUACACCAUAGACUGUGAGUUGCGAACGGGUGAGUAACGCGUAGGUAACCUGCCUGGUAGCGGGGGAUAACUAUUGGAAACGAUAGCUAAUACCGCAUAAUAUUAAUUAUUGCAUGAUAAUUAAUUGAAAGGUGCAAUUGCACCACUACCAGAUGGACCUGCGUUGUAUUAGCUAGUAGGUGAGGUAACGGCUCACCUAGGCGACGAUACAUAGCCGACCUGAGAGGGUGAUCGGCCACACUGGGACUGAGACACGGCCCAGACUCCUACGGGAGGCAGCAGUAGGGAAUCUUCGGCAAUGGACGAAAGUCUGACCGAGCAACGCCGCGUGAGUGAAGAAGGUUUUCGGAUCGUAAAGCUCUGUUGUAAGAGAAGAACGGGUGUCAGAGUGGAAAGUUCACACUGUGACGGUAUCUUACCAGAAAGGGACGGCUAACUACGUG